RNAcentral lists this small RNA (684 nucleotides) under Rattus norvegicus (Norway rat). RNAcentral describes it as "uncharacterized LOC102552690". Lineage: Eukaryota; Metazoa; Chordata; Mammalia; Rodentia; Muridae. The record is from RNAcentral.
CGGCGCGCGAAAGCGCCGCCCAGAGCGCGUCGCGCCUCUGACUGGGUCAGAGGCUUCUGAGGAGCGGGAAGGGACGUUGAGAGCAUUGUGACACUGUCACGCAGUCAUGAUGUCACUGGGGUGAAGCAUUCCAGUCUGUGACCUGAUGACACUCGGGGUGCCAGAGGAGGUCCAGUCUCCACAAGCCAGUCUGCCUUUGGAGUGCUGGGGUUGUCCGUGUGUGCACUGCAUUCAGGUUCAGAGCAAACUUACUGAGACCUGACUUCGAGGCCCUGAGUUUGCCAGAACUCCAGAGAGAAGCUUGAAACCAAAACUGUCUCCAGAGCAUGUUUUAAGAAACGAACUGUAGGAGCGAGAGAUGUGGCUCAGUGGUUAGAGCACUUGUUGCUUUUGCAGAAGACCCAAGUUUGGUUCCCAGUAUCUACCUGGUGGCUCACAGCCAUCUAUAACUCCAUCUUCAGGGACCUGAUUCCACUUCUGUCCUCUAUGGACUUCAGACAUCCACACAGUGCACAUACAUACAGGCAAAACACUCAAACACAUAAAUAAAAUUAAAUAAAAAACUAUUUAUUUAGCUGGGUGGGUAGUGGCUUGUGCCUUUAAUCCCAGCUCUUGGGAUGAGUUUGAGGCUGCCCCGAUCUACAGAACAAGUACAUAAAGAAACCCUGUCUUGACACCCCCCCC